CUUUCAAAAAGCAUUUGAAGUGACUUACAAUUGUUAAACAUGUGUAAAAUAGGACAGUUAAAAUUGGGUUUUGGAAAAAUAAAAAAUUUGUAGGAGAUAGAACUAUACUAACCCAACCCUAACUAUACUAACUCUAAAAUUGAAUGGUAAAUUUAACUCCCAAGUUUCCCCAUGGACAAAAUCAAAGAAUAAUACGGGGUUAUGUCAAGUUUUCUGUCAAUAAAGUGACUAAUGUCCAUGAGUAAGAAAAAUGUGUUUACAUUUUUAAAGAAUGUGGGCAUUGUGUUCUUAUGACACAAAGAUGCAGCUAAUAAGCAUACUGUAAUGUUUAAUGUGUUGAAAGUUGAAUCAAAAGGUAUCAUUCUGG
RNAcentral lists this long non-coding RNA (367 nucleotides) under Bos taurus (domestic cattle). RNAcentral's name for it is "long non-coding RNA NONBTAT001801". Lineage: Eukaryota; Metazoa; Chordata; Mammalia; Artiodactyla; Bovidae. The record is from RNAcentral.